UACGUAGGGGGCUAGCGUUGUCCGGAAUCAUUGGGCGUAAAGAGCGUGUAGGCGGCCCGGUAAGUCCGCUGUGAAAGUCGGGGGCUCAACCCUCGAAUGCCGGUGGAUACUGUCGGGCUAGAGUGCGGAAGAGGCGAGUGGAAUUCCUGGUGUAGCGGUGGAAUGCGCAGAUAUCAGGAGGAACACCAAUAGCGAAGGCAGCUCGCUGGGACGUUACUGACACUGAGGCGCGAAAGCGUGGGGAGCGAACAGG
This 253-nucleotide ribosomal RNA is filed under the name uncultured bacterium. RNAcentral describes it as "partial 16S ribosomal RNA". It matches the Rfam family "Bacterial small subunit ribosomal RNA", at positions 524 to 776 of the family's 1533-position model. The record is from RNAcentral.